This is a long non-coding RNA of Thunnus maccoyii (southern bluefin tuna), 1422 nucleotides long. RefSeq lists it as uncharacterized. Lineage: Eukaryota; Metazoa; Chordata; Actinopteri; Scombriformes; Scombridae. The record is from RefSeq and is a predicted model, not a curated record. The transcript is spliced from 3 exons.
GUGCGGCUCCAAGGCUUUUGAAAUGUGAUCGGACCAAAUGGAUCAAAUUCUGAUAGAGAGACAAGUCAUUUCUUUAUACGUCCAUGUCUUCAACAGCGUAAACAACCUUCACACAGCUCCUGUUCGUCGUCUGACCAGCCCGUGGCUUUACUCUGCGGGGUCUCCUCUACAUCCCGCCCCUCCACCUUUACAAUUGGCUGACAGGGACCAAUGUUUCAGCUCUACCGACCUUUCUCAGGGCAACAACUGACAGACUUUUUCACCCUAUAUAUCAACUCACCUGCCACAGGUGGCUCCUGAUUAGCAAUCAGCAGAGAGCGAGCGGCAGAAACGUGACGUGAACACAAGUGGAGAAAAGAAGUUUAGCAGUAAGUUGUCAAUAAGGCAGUAAAUGUAGAGUACAGACUGUGUGUCAGUUAAUAAAUGCUGCAGCUCCUCAACACAAAGAAAAUACUCGUCUAUCAAAAGGGCUGCCAGCAGUUCUUAUUUUAGUGUCAAUCUCAGCCGCUCUUUAACAGAGAACGGAGAAAUGUCUGGCUGAUGAGUCUCUGUCUUGAGUUUUUCCCCCGUUUUGGAUUAUUCCAUCUUCUGGUGAAGACAUAUCUUCCACCACUCUCAAAAAUAGAAUCAGUAUUGUGUUUAUACAUGAAGAGUCUUGCUGUACACUAAAAUAAUGAUUUGUUGUAAGUAUUGGAAACACAGUGCUCGGUGUAGACGUUGAUUCCAGCCCUUCAUUCUAACCAGUAACGCUCGUGUUACAUCAGACGCCAUCUUAUGGUGAAGAAAUAGAUUACACUCUACAGUCGGUAGGCCUGUUGUGUUCAUACAUCAGGAGGGCUUGCUGUAAAACAAUAUGUCAUGAGCAUCUAUGGCACAGGAGUCAGGGUGAUUCAAGUCUUUUAUUCUAUAAUGAGACACACAACCAGUCAGUUCAGGAGGACGGACAGACGGAUCAGCACAGCUUGCUCCCACAACACCAUGAAAAUCCUUCUCUGCUGUAGGUUACUAUGUUGGCUUGAAAGACUUUACAUUGUGGUCGUAUAGUGAUACAAUCAUAAUAAAAUAAACUUACAAAUGAAAUAAAAUAAAUUAAAAUGACUGUGUACCUUUUUACAAUAUCAAUAACACUCUAUAACAUCAAUAUCUACAGUAUUAUACCAAAACUAGAAUGGAUUAGUAGAAAAGAUGUCAUUUAAUCCCAUGCAAGUUUUUUUAUUUUACAUUUAUGUUCCUCUGCUGCCACCUUCAGGAAUGUUACAGUAACAGCAGACAAGCUGGUUUAUCACUGUUAACAAGCAUGAAUGAAUCUGUUACCUAUUAAAUGGCUGAUUUAACUACACUCUGCUUCACAUAUCUGAACACACUGUAACGGACUGUGUUCAUGUGAGUGUUUAACUGUUAUGAGUGUUACUGUAAGAAACA